This 1357-nucleotide long non-coding RNA is filed under the name Anas platyrhynchos platyrhynchos (common mallard). Its description in RNAcentral is "lncRNA (ENSAPLG00000028305.1)". Lineage: Eukaryota; Metazoa; Chordata; Aves; Anseriformes; Anatidae. The record is from RNAcentral.
UCUCCAAAGGAAGUUAAGCAGGAACCCAGUGUCUUACUGAACUGGUCCUUUUGGGCUUGCUGCCCUGCCCGUUGGAGAUCUAAACACUUUUCCUUUUCCUUUCCCUUUCCCUACCCCUUUCCCCUUCCCUUACUCCUUUCCCUUUCCCUACCCUUUUCCCCUUCCCUUACUCCUUUCCCUUUCCCUUUCCCCUUCCUCUUCCCUUUUUCCUUCCCCCCACUUUUUUUUUUUUUUUUUUGAUCUCCCUCCUAGGAGCUUGAAACAAGAUCUAGGUAGCCUUUAGGCACACAUAAAUUCAAACUUGUGAAACAAACAAAAAAACAAAACAACAACAACAACAACAAAAAAAAAAACUUCUGUAGUGGCAGAUUUGUCGGGAAGUAUCUAAACUCAGAGAAAGUUUUCAUUUCUGCCCCCAGAUUUUCAGUGAUUCCCAGAUUUGCAGUUGUGAUGGUGCCCAGGUAUGGUGAUGCCUGGGCAGGUAGGUCCCAUGCAAAUGCUAGCAGGGUCCAAACGAAGGGUUUGUCUAUAGCUUCACCUCCAAGGGAACCUGGCAUCAUUGGAUCACUCACCAACACCUGAUUCCUAGCAGAAUGCAGAAGAAUCUCUUUUAUUUUUAAGAUGUGGAAGCAGUAAACCCCUUUUAUCUAAGAAAGUUACAGCUGGGAAGUAGUAGGUCUCCUAGCAACCCACGAGCAAGCAAAACCACACGUUCUGCCCCUCCAGGAAGCACAGUCUGUGGGCUCCACCGAGUACUCCAGCAUGUGAGCAGGAGUUGGAGCCAAAGCAAUGCUGGAGUCAAGCCCAAGCAACACCCUUCAAGGGAAGGAUUAUUUCUUCUUUCAAACACUGCUCCUUCUCCUCCUACACCCCUCUGCCAAAAAUAACGUUGGAAGCAGCAACAUAAAUGACCGUACACGUGGUAGCAGCGAUUUUGGAUCCCAGCUGGCACCAGCCCAAGAGGCCGGGAGAUGGGAAAAGUAUAUUUCCAGCUUUGGUGUUUUGUGUACGCUAACAUGCACAGGGGGGUCCCGGAGGUGAUUUGGGUUUCCUCUCUACAGGUGCACUGACUGCUUCCACAGGAGCUGGUGAGGGUGACAGGGACCUUCUGGAGUGGUGCAGGAUGGGCUCCUGCCUGCAGCCUGGCUGCCAAUGGACAGGGACUGAAGGCAGCAAGGCAACGUGCCACAGGGAUGCCCUGUGCAGCGGGGGAGCAGGCAGGAGGCAGGGCACACAGCCAGUGCUGGCAGGGGAAGGAGGGAAAGCGUCCUGGGGAGCACGGAGGAACAGGAAUGGGCACGGGACGAUCCUGAGCUGAAAGCUUUAGGGUUGGCCAAAACUGCUCCAGAGAGGGCAC